Molecule: long non-coding RNA, 1090 nt
Filed under: Mustela putorius furo (domestic ferret)
Lineage: Eukaryota; Metazoa; Chordata; Mammalia; Carnivora; Mustelidae
Description: lncRNA (ENSMPUG00000031568.1)
Source: RNAcentral
AUGUAUGCCAGAAUGCAGAUCUCAGGAAACACACCAACAACAGGGGCAGCCAGUCAACAUCAAGUUGAGAAGAAAAAUCCGCAGGAGACAAAGCCUCCCCCACCCCGCCCCAGUGAGCUUUUUAUCAGUGAGAUGUGUAAAGUUACUGUUCUCUGGGACAGUCGGUUGACCCUGAACAAGGAAACAUUCACAGGGAGGGAAAGACUCAGGAGGACACGUUCGUGGCCCGUCAGGAACUCCAGCCACCCACACGAAUUUACCAGUGUUUCCGCGAGCACCUGCUCCUGGUCAGGUGAGGGAGCCACACUUGGGAUCUAGUGGCAAACAAGGCAGACACAGAUGCAACCCCGAAGGAGCUCCCGGGUCGUCGGGACAGAGGCUGGGAGCCCUGCCUCCCAAGGGGGAGAGCUACAGGCAGUCACGGAAUUUGUACAAAGUGCUUCUGACCAAUUAAUCUGAAGAGCUGCCCCCUGAGAGGCAGGCUGAGUUCUGUUUAGGGAGCACAUACUGCUCUGCCUGAGAAGUGAGGUGUAGGGCAUGUGAACCAACAGGAGGGUCUGGCUGGCAUCACAGAAUAAAGUGGGACAAAUCAGGCCCUCUGGUCGGCCUCAUAUUGACCAAGUGAAUGCCUAACAGACAUAGUCCAUCUGCGAUCUGUAAGCAUCUUUGCUCAGCCUGAAAGGAAGCACUGCAAUGCAGGAGAUACCCCCAUGUGACUACUCUCAUGUUCCCCAGGCUGGAGGCCGGACGGUGGAUGGCAGGUGUAUGUAUAUAUGCAUAUGUAUUUAUGUAUGCCUAUACCCAUAGCCUCUAUAUCUAAAUCUAUAUGAACCCAAAGCCAGCUUCUUUGGUCUGAUGCAGGGCAUCAUUCUGGAUUUUGUAUAAGUGGUUGCCUAAAUCCCUGGCAUGAGGUAUAGAGCACAGAGAACAUGACCAUCUUUUCCAUUACCAAGAAUUACUUGGUCCCUCUCUGCCUCCACAAUUCUUCCUUCUCUUUCCUCUUUCUGCCUACAUCUUCAUUCCUUCAUGAAGUCAAAAUACCCAGGGGACAGCUAAAUCAUACAGAACAUCUGCUUUCAUAAAGAAGGAA